AUCCAACUGACGAGUCCCAAAUAGGACGAAACGUUCUUCCUGGAU
This is a non-coding RNA of Schistosoma mansoni, 45 nucleotides long. The record is from Rfam. Lineage: Eukaryota; Metazoa; Platyhelminthes; Trematoda; Strigeidida; Schistosomatidae.